GAGCACCAAACGAUUCUCCUCAAAUUCUUUAAAGUUCCACAUACUUUUGUCUCUAUUUACUCCUCAAGUUACAUCACAUUCCUGACAAAAUAUCUGACCAACAAACUCCCAGCGUCUCUCCGGACUGUAUUUUCGUGCUAGUGUAUCUACUCAUCUUCACUGUCUCGCCCCUGCUCUGAAGCUAAAAUCAUGCCUCCCUCAGAUUUCUUGAGCUCCUUCCGUUGGCCUUAUGAGCCUUACUCAAGAGAUGCACCCAUAGAGGCUCAGUCUAUAAGUGAAGGGACAGUCUAUAAGUGAAGGGACAGUCUAUAAGUGAAGGGACAGUCUAUAAGUGAAGGGACAGUCUAUAAGUGAAGGGAU
RNAcentral lists this small RNA (360 nucleotides) under Cryptococcus neoformans H99. RNAcentral describes it as "Cryptococcus neoformans var. grubii H99 hypothetical RNA". Lineage: Eukaryota; Fungi; Basidiomycota; Tremellomycetes; Tremellales; Cryptococcaceae. The record is from RNAcentral.